AUGGUGACGCCGAUGGCGCUAGAGGCGGAGAAAGGGGCGGCCACCGCCUUCUCCAACGUCGUGCUGGGAAGACUCAUGAAGGUGUUGGAGAACAAGUACCAGCUGUGGAGCGGCAUCCAGACUGAAAUCUCGUCUCUGCACGAAGAUCUUAAACUCCUGGCGGCAGCCGUAGAUGACCACCAGGUCAGUGCUGCGGCUUCUAGCACGGCCGUCGCGAGGGUGUACGGCGAGCAGAUCCGCGAGCUGACCCACGAUAUCGAAGACUGCGUGGAGCGCUUCCUGCACCGCAUCACCUGCAAGCCCGGGGCCUCGCGGGCUCGCCGCACAGCUCACGCCUUCAGGACGCUCCGCCGCCGUCUCCUGUUCGCCGACAAGAUCAAGAAGUUCCGGAGGCGCGUGGCAGAUGCACGCAAGCGGGCAUUCAACGCCGACGCCACCGCCGCCGCUGCUGCAGCAAUUUCCCCUUAUAGCGGUGGUGCCCAGCCGUCCAACAACCAGGGGUACGUGCAGGAUUGCCGCCCCGUGGGCAUCGCAAAGGCCAUCAUGGAGCUUCGUGCUCUGCUCGGCAUCGAACCAAACCAAGGCCGAGCUGCGGUUCAGGCUCAGCUGCGGGUGGUCGCCGUGGUGGGAUUUGGUGGUUCGGGCAAGACGACCCUCGGAAGGGCAGUCUACAGCAUAGUCCAAAGAGCACUCCCUUGUGCUUGGGUUGACGGCCACUUGCUGGAUCGUACGGACUCUAAUGGCAUCGUCAAACAUAUCCAAGAGAACCUUCGUUCGGAGGAAGGGCGUUCCGCGACAUCUCUCCACCAGGACCAGGACAGCAGAUAUUUAAUCGUUAUUGAUGGCAUUAAGAGGAAGCACCAGAUGCACUGGGAUACACUGAGGAAUGCCUUCAGGAAUAAUGGGAGAAUAAUUUUGACAACGAACAAUUGGUCAGUAGCUAAUAGAUGCUGCAAUCAUCCCAGGGAAGAAGAUAAAUAUACCUUUGGUCGUGUGUACAACAUGAGAAGUCUUGGAGAAGAAGAUUCAAGGAAACUAGCUCUGCUUGGAAGAGUUACACCUGAGUUACUGAUGGGUUCAAAAGAACUCCUGGAGAAAUGUGGUGGUCUGCCUCUAGCUCUUUAUAGUGUGGCCUGCCAAUUGAGCUCUGAAAUGGAAACUACGGGGGAAUUGUGCAGAAUAUUGUGCAGUGACCUGGGUACAUAUCUGGAACGCGAAGACGACGAGCCUAACUUUGCAAGGCUUCGAGGUGUGCUAAGGGAAAAUUACACCAGUCUGUCUGAUUACAUUGUCAGGACCUGCUUGUUGUAUCUAGGUAUAUUCCCAAUUGAUCGUCCCCUCAAGAAGAAUGUCAUAAUCAGGCGAUGGUUGGCUGAAGGAUAUGCACGCCAUUAUGAAGGGAGGCACCAAAGUGUAGCUGAUAAGAAUUUCAAGACAUUUACCCACCAGAGUAUUAUUUUGCCUGCUGUUCCAAUCAGCAAUUUCAUAGAGAAGGCGUGCAAAAUUCAUGGUAUCAUGCACACCUUCAUCUUGCACAAGUCCAUAUCCAAGAAGUUCAUCAUGCCCUUUGGUACUCAGCACAAUAAAGUCCGCCACCUAUUUAUCCAUAACAGCCGCUAUGGAAAUUACGAAAUCAGCCCAGACAUGGAUUUAUCACGGGCCCGAUCUCUGACAGUCGUAGGGAAAGCAGGUGGUGCUAUUUCCAAGUUCAACAAGUACAAACUUGCAAGAGUGUUGGACCUGGAAGGGUGCAUUGAUGUGGAAGAUUUUCAUGUUAAAGAGAUAUGUAAGCUAUGGAAUCUGAGAUAUCUAAGCCUCGGGCCCGAUAUCACAGAGAUACCCAAGGAAAUUGCUCAACUUAAAUUGCUGGAGACACUUGAUGUAAGCAAGACAAGGGUGAAUGUGCUCCCAGUGGAGGCUAUUGGACUACCCUGUUUGAUUCAUCUGAUUGGAAAGUUUAAGCUUCAAGACCCAGUCAAGACAGAGAGGCUGCCACAAAAAUGUAUGCUGGAGACCCUUGCGGGGAUUGUUGCCGACAAGGGUCGGGGAUUUUCGCAACUUAUGGACCAUACGAAAAAGUUAAAGAAGGUCAAGGUAUGGUGUGAGUGUGAGGAAACUGAACAAGGUCAGAUCGACAUGAAUAAUCAACUUGCCGAGGCCAUCCAAAAGUACAUUGAAACUCCUAUGGAUGAGGACAAUGUGGAAAACUAUCGCUCCCUGUCCCUUUACUUCCAACGAUUGCCCCAAGGUUCCAUGACUGCUCUAGAACAACUAUGUCAACGCCACAGUUCGAGGAAAGGAUAUUUAUUUUAUCUCAGCUCGCUCAAGCUACAUGGCAACUCCAACCCAACUACAUUGCCUAAGUUUGUUGCCAUGUUUCAUGAUCUAGCUAAGCUAAGCAUUUCGACCACCAUGUCUGUGACACAACAUCUUCUGUCAGUACUUGGCGAGAUGCAUUUAAUGAAGUAUCUCAAGCUGGCUGCCAACAGCAUCGACGACGACGACGGUUUCGUCAUCCAAAAAGGGAAGUUCGGGAGCCUGAAGCGCCUAUGUCUUGUGUUAAAAGUUGUGGGACCGUCUGUCCUAACAAUCAAAGACAGAGGUGCGCAGGCCAUUAGCUCGCUCCAACUGAUCUGCAAGGAUCUAGUUGGUCUCUCUGGCGUCGAAAUCAGCUACCUCCCUAACCUGAAGGAAAUUGUCCUUCACCCUGAUGUGGGUGAAGAAACAAGGCAAGCGUGGAAAGCGGAGGCAAGGAACCACCGUAACAUGCCGCAUGUGUUGUCUAUCCCAGGUGAUCACGUCCGAGAGGAAACAGCUGCAGUUGAGGAGGAACCAGCACUUGAGGAUCCCAUGGAGGUGGAGCCAGAGAGUAACUUCCCUAAUUCUAUUGGGCUCCACGUUAAUGAAGCACAACAAGGCUGCGACAAGGAAGCUUUGGUGCUGGCCCCCGUGCAACCACGAAAGGCGAACAAGAGGAAGCGUGCUCAAGUACGUGCCUGCCAAGGUCCUAAAAUCAGCCAACACACAUGA
Molecule: ribosomal RNA, 3030 nt
Filed under: Triticum aestivum (bread wheat)
Lineage: Eukaryota; Viridiplantae; Streptophyta; Magnoliopsida; Poales; Poaceae
Description: partial small subunit ribosomal RNA
Source: RNAcentral